GCGAGGACUUGUUCUCCUUCGCUCUCUAAGCCUUCAUUUCCUUGUGGAGGAUGCCUGAGUGUCUGUUCACUGAAGUCUGGGCUACACUGUCGGCCUUCGCGUUAGCUAGGUAGCCUGUUACAGGGCACAGGAGGCGAACGGAGUUCAGCCGAGGCGAACAGACCUGUGUCAUGCGUAGUUUCUGUGUGAAAUCAUCUUCGUAAUACGGCGGAGGAAGGAUGUGGCGUGGUGCAUCGGGCAAAUCAUGAAAGGUGCUUCAUAAAUACCUUAGCCAAGGUAUGAAUUCAGAACGUUAAUAAAGCUCUGUUGAUGGUGGGCAUGGCUUGUGAGAAUGGAUGGAUGCCCCUCUGUUACAGUAUUUGGAGUUUCUACACUCUAUCGUACCUCUGCAUCCGGGACAACAACACAGUGUGGUAACGAGUUCAAACAGGUGCAGUUAAUACAGGUAUUGAGUGGAGAACAGGAGGGCUUCUUAAAGAAAAACUAACAGAUUCCGUCUCUCACAGUUGAAGAGUACCUAUGAUAAAAAUUACGGACCUCUACAUGCUUUUCGUUUGGCCGUUGGCACCGGAUACCCGGCAGUAUAUCACCGUCCGGGGUCCAAUCUGGAGCGCCGUCCGCCUCUGUCUCCAUGCCGAAAAUUUAUGGUUAACAACAGUUGGGGCAAACACACCUUGCACGUGGGCAAUUUCCUCUCCACACCAACUCCUCUGCGAGUCAUGGGGGAAAGAACAGGACUAACAGAUCAUCACCUGAUUUCCAUCAUAGAAUGCAAUGCAAUUUGCCUCAUUAGCAUGGGUUAACGGAGUGGCCCUGCCGGUCGAGGACUGUCAGUCUCGUCCCUCUACAAGACGCGCAAUCCUGAAUUCCUGACCGUACACAGCGGAAUCCUCUUUCAAUGGAAAGCGACAGGGUUGAAAUGUCAUCCGCAAAUUCUUCCAACAUGAAAUAAUUUGCGUACUAAUCGAAUUUGAGACAUUCUUGGGUGAUUUUUUUUCUUCAAGUGCCACUACAAAACCCCUCUUUCAGUGCUCCCACUGGGCCGGAUAGUUGCACUCGGCCACACUACGGCCAAAUCAGAAUCACACGCCAUAUCAUUCCACACAUUCCAUAGUGGAAGAAAGGGAUCUAUAGCCCUCACUGUUCUUUCAUUUCAGGAUGUUUAACUCCACAUAAAAAGAAACAUCCUUCCUACAGCAUAAAGGAACAGUGUAAGGAAUGAUCUAUUAAUGCAGCUCAUCUGAUUUGUUACAUACAAAACCACAAUUGGGGUCUCAGAGAAUGGACAGAAAAUAUAAAAUGAAGCAUUUUCUUUAUGGUACCAUAUUGACAUUGGGUCUUUAACCCUGCUCACAAAAAAUGUGUUGCUCCUACAGACAGUGAUUAAUGGACAUUGUUACAGACAAGCGUUGAGACAUUGUUUGAUUGAACGUUGGAAUGGGAGGUAUUUGUGUCAUCAGCGACUAAGUGUUGCCGGAUCAUCUGUGCCAGGCGUUCCAAUCAGUGUUUUAGAAAAUGCAACCAUUGGGCCUUUCAUUAAUGUCAGCAUCGAGGGUUUAGACACUGUGGUGAAACGUAACGUCGGGACCAUGAACAGCCAAAUUACGGGCAAAGUACGACAGCGGUGAGCAAGACAAACGUCUCAGCGGUCUUUCACACAUUGGGGUCCACUCCUCUCAGAUAAAAAGAGGCUCCAGUGGUUGUCAGUCCAACACAAGACAACUGAGGAAUGGAAAUACAUUGCCUGGUCCAACCAAUCCUGGUUCAGUUUUGUUGCCUUGGCUGAACCCCAUAAGACGAGCCAAUAGCGCAUCUCUGAGAUGGAACCAGCUGUUCACACCAAUGUUUCCAAUCUGCAGCAUCUGUGGGAAGAUCAUCACCUGAGUGUUGACCAACAGCACUGUGGAACACGUCCGGCGCCUUUUUUCAGAGAAUAUACCCUUCUGGAGGCAAGGAGAUCCAACCCGCUAGUAUUUGGGUGGUCAAUGAGUGUUUCUUGUCUUGUUUGAAAAUGUUUUAAAACCUCCACCGAAAGUUGCGUAAACAUUAUACCCUGCCAGGUACCACAACCUAAUAUUAGCCCACCCAUUUAUAGAUAUACAUUCAAAUUAACCUAAACCAGUUCAGUAUAUAGACACAAUAAUGAUUUUGAUUUCACUGAUAAAUAUGAGUGUGUGUGAAUCUGGGGGUGGCAGGGUAACGUAGGGGUCAAGAGCCUUGGUAAACAAAAGGUCACUGGUUUUAACCCUAUAGUCAACCAUGUGAGAAACAAUGUAGUUUUGACCCGAGAAAGACAGUUGACCCUAAUUGCUCCCAGGUUGUUGCGGUCAAUAAAAGUCAGUUUUUAGAAUACUUCCCUAAAAUAAUGGUUAACCUAAUGAAACAUCAACAAGAAAAUAGUCUGCCCUAAAAAAAACGUAUACAUACACACUUUAAUAAAGAUACGAAACAUUGUGCCAUUUGGAAAUUCUACACUUUAUUUUGGAAUGCUCAGGUUAAACUUCGCAUAGAAUAACUCCUGGUGCUACAUUUCUGUGCUAACACACACAGACAGACAAUCAACUGUGCAAAAACUCCCCCAUAAUCAACUGAAAGAGCUAAGAGGAUAUUUUCCAGCAUUUUCAGAUGAUGUUGCAUGUAAUUUGUGCACACCAUUAUAAAAUAGAUUUUUUUCUCAGAAUAUGCCAUUACAUUCAUGACAUUGCAUAUUUGAGGUCCAGGACUGCAUUGUAGCAUUGACUACAAACGUUGACAUAAUACGGUUUACAUGCUAACACUAGCCCUGAAGUGCCUCAUAGAUACGUUAGCUUUUCGCUGACUAUAAAAAGGAGUUGAUUUCCAGCCGAACCCAAUUUGGCAUCACAGCAGAUAAAAAAAUUAUAAUCUAUGAUAGUAACACAUACACAAAGACGCACACACAAACACACACACUCUUUAGAAUAUUUGUGCAGACUGUUGUUUUAGGAUCACAAAUAAUUUCUAUUAAAAUAUCCAUCUUUUCUAACCUCUAACCCCUAAAACUCCAUUAUAACACUAACCUUAACCCUAAGCCUAAAAAACCAACUUACGUAACGGAGAAUGUCCUCACAAGUCAUGAUUUGCCAGUAUUGCAAGUAUUGUAGUGUGCGCGCACACACACACACACAACUAAUUCAUCCUAAGUGCAUUAGCCAUGUUACCUAUCCCAUUGACCUACAAAUUACCAAGACAGUAUCUGUGAGUCUGUCUGGCAUGUCGGAACAUUCUGCAAAUUUAAUCGGCAGAAAUGUAAAAUAUAAAUGGAAAGCUGUCUUUAGCAUAGACAUAAUGCAUAGAGAUUCAGUUCAUUUGCAUGCGUUGUGUCAUCAAAGGCCUCAAGAAAAUUUAUUCUCAAAGGGUUUACCGUUAUUAACUCUAACAUAUAGAUCAGAAUCAACACAUAAGUUACAAAACAAUCAGACCUAUCAACAAAAGUGCUACCGUGGCCAUUGAAGAUUAUUGUAAAUUUGGACUUUUAUGACAUGAGCCAGCCAGGCGGUGGAGGGAUUCAUCCAUGAAAUACUGCAAGACAUAUUUCCAGUGGCCUCAACAGUUCCAGAUUUCUCUCUCUCUCAUACAGUUCGUUACCGCUUACUGCCUCACGUAAGACUUUGAAAUGCAAAGUCAUUCUGGGACUGUCUGCCUGACCCAGAGGUUUGUUGUGGGGGUGCCGGGGGAGCGGCGAGUCCCCUGUGUGACGACCGUCAGUGGCACCGGUUGUCCCUCAGGUCGGUGGAGGCCCAUUGACAUAGCGCAGGGCCAAGUGGAAGGAGCGGGCCAGGGAGUUGGCGUGACGGCAUUCUGGCUCAGUGAGCAUGGCGGGCCACACCAGCAGAACCAAAACCACAGCCAGGAGGGCGACCAGGAACACUGGGUCUCGCAGGGUCUCCACCGUCCACCAGGUGCCUGAGGACCAUGGCCUGCACAGAGCUUGUCGGCUGGGGAAGCCUUCCAGCCUGGCAGAGGAGUGGGAGAGGUGCAGGAGGAGCGUGUAAGAAUUACCAAGGCUCAGCAUCACUGAAGUCGGGGGUUGUUGGCUUCGACCUUGGCGUGCACUGCGUCUUUGAUUUCAAUCAAUCGCGCAGAGGGGUGAGAUUUGCUAGUGCCAUCUAAUUGAUAUUGACUGGAAUAUCUACUGCCACAGCAGGUACUCAAAGUGUUGUCCAGACAAAAGUUAUAAGCCCAUUUGACAUGAAGACUGUUCUGGUUAAAAUGUUGUAUUCAUUUUUAACAUGAAGAAACUGUUAGAAAACAGUUACG
This is a long non-coding RNA of Esox lucius (northern pike), 4278 nucleotides long. NCBI's taxonomy places the organism in Eukaryota, Metazoa, Chordata, Actinopteri, Esociformes, Esocidae. The record is from Ensembl.